Molecule: long non-coding RNA, 1030 nt
Organism: Corapipo altera (White-ruffed manakin)
Lineage: Eukaryota; Metazoa; Chordata; Aves; Passeriformes; Pipridae
Exons: 3
Source: RefSeq, a predicted model, not a curated record
AAUUUGAACAAUCUGCAGUGUGUAUUUCUUCAUGUUUUUUACAUCUUCUCAUAAACAGAGAUAAAGGCAAAAUAGUACAUGCCAAGACAGUAAAACAGCUAUCUGAAGGCAUAUUUAGAUUGAUAAAGGAAAACCAAUUUGUUAAAUCUGUAAAAAAAUUAGUUACAAAGAGUUCAGGCAAAGUAAUGUUAGAAGCAUAGUCUCAAGACUGCACAAUUUCAGUAUGACAUACAUAUAAAAUACAGAAAAAAUAUGAAAAGGACAGAGAAUAUGAAGUCUAAUUAUUGUAAUACCUUUCUGAAGUAAUGAGAAACUUGAGAGUAUGGCUGACAAACAGGUACUAGACUUUCAAGUAGAAAAUAUGCAUUCCAUCAAAAGUUAAACAGAUGUCCACAAAAAAUGUUUUUUCAUUGGAUAGAGUCGGAUGUGCAAAAUGAGAAACAUGCAAAUACAUAAUUUUCAAUGGAUAACCUGGAAUAAAGGCUGAGCUCGUCUUCCAUGAAUACCUUUGUUAUGAUUAAAGUGGUUAUUACACACUUACUAGCUAUGCAUGUAGUCUUUGGCUUCAUGUUGGUGAAUGAAGAGUAAAUCAGAGGUUAUGCUAAACACCUGAAUAAAGGAACCUCUUAAUUACAGCCCAGUAAGUGUCAGGGUUGACAGCAAGCCUGUCAGCAGCCUGGCAUUUAUCUACGAAGCAGUGGACAUAAACCAAAUUACAGGAUACCCCUGAAAGGAAGAGAACACAGCAUGCAGAAGAAUGUGGGCAACUUUCAGACAGGAAGAAGAUGGAAGACAGAAAUGGACUUCCUGUACUUUCUGCAAGUCAGGAUGACUGGACAAAAGCUGUGUUUACUAGUUUGCAACCAAUCCUGGUGUGUGUAUACAUGAAAGUACCAAUAGAAGGAUGACAUGUGUAUAGCCUGAUAUAUGUUUACAUGGAAGGCACCAAUAGAAAGUUGACAUGUAUGAUAUGUGAAAAGUAUAAAUGUUUGCAACCUGUUACAAUAAAGUGUUUACAGCCUUCUUGUAA